ACGAGAAUCUACUGAAAGAGUUUUCGGACAAUGGAUGUAGAGGAAAGUGGCGGACGGGUGAGUAACGCGUGAGGAACCUGCCUUGAAGAGGGGGACAACAGUUGGAAACGACUGCUAAUACCGCAUGACGCAUAGAGGUCGCAUGAUCUUUAUGCCAAAGAUUUAUCGCUUCAAGAUGGCCUCGCGUCUGAUUAGCUGGUUGGCGGGGUAACGGCCCACCAAGGCAACGAUCAGUAGCCGGACUGAGAGGUUGAACGGCCACAUUGGGACUGAGAUACGGCCCAGACUCCUACGGGAGGCAGCAGUGGGGAAUAUUGGGCAAUGGGCGCAAGCCUGACCCAGCAACGCCGCGUGAAGGAAGAAGGCUUUCGGGUUGUAAACUUCUUUUAAGAGGGAAGAGCAGAAGACGGUACCUCUAGAAUAAGCCACGGCUAACUACGUGCCAGCAGCCGCGGUAAUACGUAGGUGGCAAGCGUUGUCCGGAUUUACUGGGUGUAAAGGGCGUGCAGCCGGGUCUGCAAGUCAGAUGUGAAAUCCAUGGGCUCAACCCAUGAACUGCAUUUGAAACUGUAGAUCUUGAGUGUCGGAGGGGCAAUCGGAAUUCCUAGUGUAGCGG
RNAcentral lists this ribosomal RNA (616 nucleotides) under uncultured bacterium. RNAcentral's name for it is "bacterial SSU rRNA". It matches the Rfam family "Bacterial small subunit ribosomal RNA", at positions 66 to 681 of the family's 1533-position model. The record is from RNAcentral.